Molecule: ribosomal RNA, 593 nt
Filed under: Klebsiella sp.
Lineage: Bacteria; Pseudomonadati; Pseudomonadota; Gammaproteobacteria; Enterobacterales; Enterobacteriaceae
Description: bacterial SSU rRNA
Rfam family: Bacterial small subunit ribosomal RNA
Source: RNAcentral
CUUGCUCUCGGGUGACGAGCGGCGGACGGGUGAGUAAUGUCUGGGAAACUGCCUGAUGGAGGGGGAUAACUACUGGAAACGGUAGCUAAUACCGCAUAACGUCGCAAGACCAAAGUGGGGGACCUUCGGGCCUCAUGCCAUCAGAUGUGCCCAGAUGGGAUUAGCUAGUAGGUGGGGUAACGGCUCACCUAGGCGACGAUCCCUAGCUGGUCUGAGAGGAUGACCAGCCACACUGGAACUGAGACACGGUCCAGACUCCUACGGGAGGCAGCAGUGGGGAAUAUUGCACAAUGGGCGCAAGCCUGAUGCAGCCAUGCCGCGUGUAUGAAGAAGGCCUUCGGGUUGUAAAGUACUUUCAGCGGGGAGGAAGGCGAUAAGGUUAAUAACCUUGUCGAUUGACGUUACCCGCAGAAGAAGCACCGGCUAACUCCGUGCCAGCAGCCGCGGUAAUACGGAGGGUGCAAGCGUUAAUCGGAAUUACUGGGCGUAAAGCGCACGCAGGCGGUCUGUCAAGUCGGAUGUGAAAUCCCCGGGCUCAACCUGGGAACUGCAUUCGAAACUGGCAGGCUAGAGUCUUGUAGAGGGGGGUAGAC